Non-coding RNA from Medicago truncatula (barrel medic), 125 nucleotides. The record is from Rfam. NCBI's taxonomy places the organism in Eukaryota, Viridiplantae, Streptophyta, Magnoliopsida, Fabales, Fabaceae.
AAAAAGGGUCAGUUGGCUAAAUAUGCCACGCUCAUCAUGAUGAUGAGUGCUGUAUGGCUAUCAAGACAUAUGGCUGACAUAAUUUUUGUAAAUCAAUAGGGUUGGUUCGUUUAGCCGACCCUCCA